CCUACGGGUGGCAGCAGUGAGGAAUAUUGGUCAAUGGGCGAAAGCCUGAAGCAGCAAAGUCGCGUGAGGGAUGAAGGUUCUAUGAAUCGUAAACCUCUUUUAUAAGGGAAUAAAGUGCGGGACGUGUCCCGUUUUGUAUGUACCUUAUCACUAAAGAUCGGCUAACUCCGUGCCAGCAGCAGAGGUAAUACGGAGGAUCCGAGCGUUAUCCGGAUUUAUUGGGUUUAAAGGGUGCGUAGGCGGUCUUUUAAGUCAGCGGUGAAAGUCUGUGGCUCAACCAUAGAAUUGCCGUUGAAACUGGUAGGCUUGAGUGUGUUAGAGGUAGGUGGAAUGCGUGGUGUAGCGGUGAAAUGCUUAGAUAUCACGAAGAACACCGAUUGCGAAGGCAGCCUGCCAGGCCAUGACUGACGCUGAUGCACGAAAGCGUGGGGAGCAAACAGGAUUAGAUACCCGGGUAGUC
RNAcentral lists this ribosomal RNA (460 nucleotides) under uncultured bacterium. RNAcentral describes it as "partial 16S ribosomal RNA". It matches the Rfam family "Bacterial small subunit ribosomal RNA", at positions 338 to 795 of the family's 1533-position model. The record is from RNAcentral.